UGUUCAUCUAUGAAACACUUGGUUUUAAGGGAAUAACUAAAGCCUUUGUGAUCCAGAAGAGGUUUGAUUUGGCAAAUUAUAUAGCCCUUAUUAUUUGAAUCAUAGCUAUAAAAGAGAAACACAUUCUUCUCAUAGGAAAAAAAGUGGAUAUAUAUGUACAAGAUUUUGUAAGCUGUCACUGUCUUGAAAUCAAUUGGCAAAAAUAUUCUACAGUCUAAGAGUAUUCAUAGGAUGGGGGCUUUGCAAACAUUGGAAAAGGAUUCAGCUAAUGAGCAGUAAGAAGAAUAGCACUUGCUUCUCUUUAUAGUGACCAUCUAUGAUGGAAUAUUGGUUCUUAUGGUCAGUAAUCUUUUUGGCCACCAUGGAUGAACAGAACAGUUCUCUGUAUUCCAUCUCUAAUUGAUUGGCUGCUACUUCUUGAUGUGCAUUCUGAGGCUGCCUCUAAACUCAGGAAGUGGAGAAAGCCACAGUUCAUUAGUGAUGUAUGCCAUGGGCGGAAGAGUGGGGACAGGACGAGCAUCAGAUAUUUGUCAUUUCUGACUUAAGUCAUCCCCAUGACAGGAACAUCCGUAUAUGUCUUUGCUUCUCUAACUUUUUCAGAGAUUCAGCUCAAAUUGCACCUCUUUUGAAAUUAAAUGCUCAUGGAACCUCAGUUACAUUAAAUGGAAUAUAUUGGUUUGGAGUUUGUUAUUAUUUGUAAAACUCCAAGCAGCCAUUGUAGCCAAGAGUAAAUUAAUG
This 738-nucleotide long non-coding RNA is filed under the name Vulpes vulpes (red fox). RNAcentral describes it as "lncRNA (ENSVVUG00000014142.1)". Lineage: Eukaryota; Metazoa; Chordata; Mammalia; Carnivora; Canidae. The record is from RNAcentral.